This 205-nucleotide ribosomal RNA is filed under the name uncultured bacterium. Its description in RNAcentral is "partial 16S ribosomal RNA". The record is from RNAcentral.
CUGCUGCCUCCCGUAGGAGUUUGGACCGUGUCUCAGUUCCAAUGUGGCCGAUCACCCUCUCAGGUCGGCUACUGAUCGUCGCCUUGGUGAGCCGUUACCUCACCAACAAGCUAAUCAGACGCGAGCUCAUCCAUAUCCGAUAAAUCUUUGAUGGAAAGAAGAUGCCUUCAAACCAUAUUAUGCGGUAUUAUCAGUCGUUUCCAAC